AACGAACUCUGGCGGCAGGCUUAACACAUGCAAGUCGAACGCCCCGCAAGGGGAGUGGCAGACGGGUGAGUAACGCGUGGGAACAUACCCUUUUCUACGGAAUAGCUCUGGAAACUGGAAUUAAUACCGUAUACGCCCUACGGGGGAAAGAUUUAUCGGGGAAGGAUUGGCCCGCGUUGGAUUAGCUAGUUGGUGGGGUAAAGGCCUACCAAGGCGACGAUCCAUAGCUGGUCUGAGAGGAUGAUCAGCCACAUUGGGACUGAGACACGGCCCAAACUCCUACGGGAGGCAGCAGUGGGGAAUAUUGGACAAUGGGCGCAAGCCUGAUCCAGCCAUGCCGCGUGAGUGAUGAAGGCCUUAGGGUUGUAAAGCUCUUUCACCGAUGAAGAUAAUGACGGUAGUCGGAGAAGAAGCCCCGGCUAACUUCGUGCCAGCAGCCGCCGUAA
Molecule: ribosomal RNA, 446 nt
Filed under: uncultured bacterium
Lineage: Bacteria
Description: partial 16S ribosomal RNA
Rfam family: Bacterial small subunit ribosomal RNA
Source: RNAcentral